This 496-nucleotide ribosomal RNA is filed under the name uncultured bacterium. RNAcentral's name for it is "partial 16S ribosomal RNA". It matches the Rfam family "Bacterial small subunit ribosomal RNA", at positions 28 to 506 of the family's 1533-position model. The record is from RNAcentral.
GAUGAACGCUGGCGGCGUGCCUAAUACAUGCAAGUCGAGCGAACAGACGAGGAGCUUGCUCCUCUGACGUUAGCGGCGGACGGGUGAGUAACACGUGGAUAACCUACCUAUAAGACUGGGAUAACUUCGGGAAACCGGAGCUAAUACCGGAUAACAUGUUGAACCGCAUGGUUCAACAGUGAAAGACGGUCUUGCUGUCACUUAUAGAUGGAUCCGCGCCGCAUUAGCUAGUUGGUAUGGUAACGGCUUACCAAGGCAACGAUGCGUAGCCGACCUGAGAGGGUGAUCGGCCACACUGGAACUGAGACACGGUCCAGACUCCUACGGGAGGCAGCAGUAGGGAAUCUUCCGCAAUGGGCGAAAUCCUGACGGAGCAACGCCGCGUGAGUGAAGAAGGUCUUCGGAUCGUAAAACUCUGUUAUUAGGGAAGAACAAAUGUGUAAGUAACUAUGCACGUCUUGACGGUACCUAAUCAGAAAGCCACGGCUAACUACGU